RNAcentral lists this long non-coding RNA (937 nucleotides) under Pan troglodytes (chimpanzee). Its description in RNAcentral is "long non-coding RNA NONPTRT009210". Lineage: Eukaryota; Metazoa; Chordata; Mammalia; Primates; Hominidae. The record is from RNAcentral.
AGGGACUCGAGAGGGUCAAGUCAGAGAAGGAGGUUGAGAAUAAGCAGCAGCAGCUGAUUAAAGCACCUCCCCUGUGCCCACUGGGCCAUGUAGUGUCCAACUGCCAGGUCUGUGCAGUGGUGGGAAACUCAAGGUCUCUACGGAGCUCUGGCCUUGGCUUCAGGAUUAAUCAACGUGAAGUGGUCCUCAGGUGGGUGCAGGGUAGGAGGUGGAGACCAAGACCAAGCCGAAGCCUUUUCCUCCUCUAAAUGACCAUCCUAACUUCCUUUUCAGGAUGAACCAGGCCCCUGUCCGAGGCUUUGAGGCAGAUGUGGGGAACAGGACCACCAUGCGCAUUAUGUACCCUGGGAUUGCCAGCCCUCAGGACCCCGGUACCCAACUGCUGCUGCUUCCGUUGAAUUCAUCUGGUCUGGAGUGGUUCAUAAGUGUACUGCAUAAACAGACAAGCAUGUGGAAGCAAAAAAAACCCUGGAUUUCAGACAGUUCAGGUUCCUGGUGGAACUGAAGACAGCAAAGAUAAGGUGCUGGUGAUCAGCCUCUACUUCCUCAGGUAUAUCCAGGAAAGUUGGCUGGAGAACCAUGGUCAGUAUCCGUCCUUGGAGUUUGUGGCUCUGUUGUAUGCCUUGCAUACCUGUGACCAGAAUACCAGAUCAUCUUGAAACUGCAGUGUGAGAGGAAGAUUGCUGUCUACGGCUGAGAUGUUUCCAGUGGAGUCCCCAGGAGGCUUGACAGGUAGCCAAGGGGACCUUGUGGUGUCAGAGAGGGACUAGGGCUUCAAGCAGACCCUGGAUGGAGAUUACUCUGCUACUGAAUGAAACCCUAGCUUAUUUCUCUCUCUGGAUUUCUGGUGGCAUUAAAGGGCUACAUUCUAUUACUGAUUCUGUCUUAUCACCAUGUGACUCUCUUAUGCUGUAUCUUACCAAAAAAUAAAAUUAAA